CCCAGAGAUCACUUCAGACGAGCAGAGACACCAGUACAAAAAGGAGUUUGACUCUGAUCUGGCCCGCUAUAAGAGCCUCUGCGCCGAAAUGGAUGACAUCAGUGACCAGAUGCACAAGCUGAGCCGAGAACUGGACGUUUUGGACGAGGGCUCCAUGAAGUACCAGGGUGUGGCAGACGAGUAUAACCGACUCAAAGACCUGAAAAGGAAAUGGGAUGAUCGAUACCCC
Molecule: non-coding RNA, 229 nt
Organism: Plectropomus leopardus (leopard coralgrouper)
Lineage: Eukaryota; Metazoa; Chordata; Actinopteri; Perciformes; Serranidae
Source: RefSeq, a predicted model, not a curated record